CUAGCACUCAUGCCACAUGUAAUCAAAGCCAUUGGUAGGGAUUCCUACGGCUUUAAAUCUUGUUGCUGAUACUGAGUUUGACCUGUGAUUUUCCUUGACAUGUCAUUUUGCCUACUUUAUACUGUAUUAUAGGUGCCUUCUACUUGGAAAGAGGAACUAACCCAAAUGCAUCUACCAGUUAUUGGCAAGUGUACAGCUUUCAUUGAAGACAAGUACACAUUUUCAAACAGUGAAAUGCCCAGCAUACACCAGAUUAGAAGAAUAAUGUCCACUCCUUGGUAUUUUCAUCAUAGUGACAACAAUGUAAUGUCAAAGGAUAUUUCUGCAGGAUGGAACUGCAACCCUUCAGGCCUGUGAGUGGAGGCACCUAGAACCUGGAGACA
This 383-nucleotide long non-coding RNA is filed under the name Rattus norvegicus (Norway rat). RNAcentral describes it as "long non-coding RNA NONRATT032595". The record is from RNAcentral. Lineage: Eukaryota; Metazoa; Chordata; Mammalia; Rodentia; Muridae.